This 277-nucleotide ribosomal RNA is filed under the name uncultured bacterium. RNAcentral's name for it is "partial 16S ribosomal RNA". It matches the Rfam family "Bacterial small subunit ribosomal RNA", at positions 15 to 291 of the family's 1533-position model. The record is from RNAcentral.
GAUCCUGGCUCAGGAUGAACGCUGGCGGCGCGCCUAACACAUGCAAGUCGAACGGCGCCUAUCUUCGGAUAGAAGCGAGUGGCGAACGGCUGAGUAACACGUGGAGAACCUGCCCCCCUCCCCCCGGGAUAGCCGCCCGGAAAGGACGGGUAAUACCGGAUACCCCGGGGUGCCGCAUGGCACCCCGGCUAAAGCCCCCGACGGGAGGGGAUGGCUCCGCGGCCCAUCAGGUAGACGGCGGGGUGACGGCCCACCGUGCCGACAACGGGUANCCGGG